Molecule: small nuclear RNA, 159 nt
Organism: Abrus precatorius (Indian licorice)
Lineage: Eukaryota; Viridiplantae; Streptophyta; Magnoliopsida; Fabales; Fabaceae
Product: U1 spliceosomal RNA
Exons: 1
Source: RefSeq, a predicted model, not a curated record
GUACAUACUUGGACGGGGUCAACGAGUGAUCAAGUAGGCUCAUGACCUAGGUCAACGACUUUCAUUGCACAUUCGAAGGUGCGUUUGCCUAACAUCUCCUGAGCGGAGCAUGUACGUCAAAAUUUGUGGUAGAGGGCACUGUGCUCGCGCAGUCCCUGU